RNAcentral lists this transfer RNA (59 nucleotides) under Vatana ogromna. RNAcentral's name for it is "tRNA-Arg". Lineage: Eukaryota; Metazoa; Arthropoda; Insecta; Hemiptera; Cicadellidae. The record is from RNAcentral. RNAcentral also lists the same sequence under 1 other name.
AAAGAAGUAAAAUAUACAUUUAGUUUCGACCUAAAAAUAAGAAAUAAUUCUCAUGUUUU